Molecule: ribosomal RNA, 819 nt
Filed under: Bacillus sp. (in: firmicutes)
Lineage: Bacteria; Bacillati; Bacillota; Bacilli; Caryophanales; Bacillaceae
Also listed under: 1 other name
Description: bacterial SSU rRNA
Rfam family: Bacterial small subunit ribosomal RNA
Source: RNAcentral
UGCAAGUCGAGCGGACAGAUGGGAGCUUGCUCCCUGAUGUUAGCGGCGGACGGGUGAGUAACACGUGGGUAACCUGCCUGUAAGACUGGGAUAACUCCGGGAAACCGGGGCUAAUACCGGAUGGUUGUUUGAACCGCAUGGUUCAAACAUAAAAGGUGGCUUCGGCUACCACUUACAGAUGGACCCGCGGCGCAUUAGCUAGUUGGUGAGGUAACGGCUCACCAAGGCAACGAUGCGUAGCCGACCUGAGAGGGUGAUCGGCCACACUGGGACUGAGACACGGCCCAGACUCCUACGGGAGGCAGCAGUAGGGAAUCUUCCGCAAUGGACGAAAGUCUGACGGAGCAACGCCGCGUGAGUGAUGAAGGUUUUCGGAUCGUAAAGCUCUGUUGUUAGGGAAGAACAAGUACCGUUCGAAUAGGGCGGUACCUUGACGGUACCUAACCAGAAAGCCACGGCUAACUACGUGCCAGCAGCCGCGGUAAUACGUAGGUGGCAAGCGUUGUCCGGAAUUAUUGGGCGUAAAGGGCUCGCAGGCGGUUUCUUAAGUCUGAUGUGAAAGCCCCCGGCUCAACCGGGGAGGGUCAUUGGAAACUGGGGAACUUGAGUGCAGAAGAGGAGAGUGGAAUUCCACGUGUAGCGGUGAAAUGCGUAGAGAUGUGGAGGAACACCAGUGGCGAAGGCGACUCUCUGGUCUGUAACUGACGCUGAGGAGCGAAAGCGUGGGGAGCGAACAGGAUUAGAUACCCUGGUAGUCCACGCCGUAAACGAUGAGUGCUAAGUGUUAGGGGGUUUCCGCCCCUUAGUGCUGCAGCUAAC